CUGGGCUUCAUGUUCAUGUCGGCCAUUGGUUGUGCUCUGUUAUUGGGCAAGGUCGCUGGCUAGGCACUUUGGUCAGGGGGGCUUCCGGCUAUAUCCUGCACUUGCGUAAGAUGAAAUUAUUCCAUAUGUGGCUAUAGAUUUGCUGUAUCCAUGGGAGGAGACAAAAUUUUAAUUUUCUCAUACCAACUUACCAAAUGGCCAGAAGCACUCUGGGAGCUCCAGAAUCACAUUAUACCAACUUGAAGACUGGAGAGGAAAGAGACCUUACCCAUCAUGCCAGUUUACAAAAAAAAAAUAGAAGGCCC
RNAcentral lists this long non-coding RNA (305 nucleotides) under Equus caballus (horse). RNAcentral describes it as "lncRNA (ENSECAG00000049548.1)". The record is from RNAcentral. Lineage: Eukaryota; Metazoa; Chordata; Mammalia; Perissodactyla; Equidae.